This 78-nucleotide ribosomal RNA is filed under the name Citrobacter freundii. RNAcentral describes it as "partial 16S ribosomal RNA". It matches the Rfam family "Bacterial small subunit ribosomal RNA", at positions 1 to 76 of the family's 1533-position model. RNAcentral also lists the same sequence under 12 other names. Lineage: Bacteria; Pseudomonadati; Pseudomonadota; Gammaproteobacteria; Enterobacterales; Enterobacteriaceae. The record is from RNAcentral.
UUAAAUUGAAGAGUUUGAUCAUGGCUCAGAUUGAACGCUGGCGGCAGGCCUAACACAUGCAAGUCGAACGGUAGCACA